UUCUCGCGCAACCUAGGGUUUCGUUCCUCGUCUCAGGAGCUCCUCCUCCUUUGCCGCCUCGCGCUUCUCUUCUAGAUAGCAAAGCAAAGAGGAUGCCCCAUCAUCACUCUGGCUUUGAGUCAUCCUUCACAGUCCCAAUACGAUCGUCGCUUGACUUGCUGAAGUUUCACGUCCAUCGGUUCUCUGAAGUCUGACUUCCAGAUCCAGGCGUUCAUAUAAUUAAAGGUCGAAAUACGUUUGGAGGUUGUGUUUGAGUUGAGUGAGAGGUGAAGAGGGUUUGAAGGCUGAAGUCUUUGGGCUUUAUAUUUGUUGUGAUUGCGAUGUUACUUUCUACUCCAUGGAGAGGGCAAGGACUACAUGAGGGAAUUGCAAGGCGUUGGUGGGAAUUGCUUUGAAGUGGCUGAGACAGACAUGGGGAGCUGAUAUUUGUUGAUAUAAAUAAAAAAGUAGCGAGAAGUUCGCGGGGAAUUUCAGGUUGCCCUAGCAUGCGAAGAUGGAUUGAAUUAGUGCUCCCUGUCAUUGUUCCAAAGGUGGAGGAGAAGAAGCCUGGGGUCAAGGCCAUCGCAAUCUCCGGUUGAGAGUUGGUGAAUUUAUUGACCUCGUUGCAACUUGUGUCUAUAUAUAGAGUGUAUGUAUAUGCUGUGUUCUGUAGGGGUUUGUGUGUCUGAGUUGGGAGUCUUCAGUCCUCUUGCGUCUGAUAUGGCCAUAUUAUAACUGUCAUGACUUUCUACUGGUCAUGGGAUUUGACGUUAUGAUUUCCUAAGAUCUGUUAAAUGUGAUAUUGGUUCCUCAAA
This is a long non-coding RNA of Eucalyptus grandis, 794 nucleotides long. RefSeq lists it as uncharacterized. The transcript is spliced from 2 exons. NCBI's taxonomy places the organism in Eukaryota, Viridiplantae, Streptophyta, Magnoliopsida, Myrtales, Myrtaceae. The record is from RefSeq and is a predicted model, not a curated record.